AGCCCUCAGUAAGUAAACCACUUAAUUUCUG
Molecule: transfer RNA, 31 nt
Filed under: Chlorocebus tantalus (tantalus monkey)
Lineage: Eukaryota; Metazoa; Chordata; Mammalia; Primates; Cercopithecidae
Description: partial tRNA-Trp
Source: RNAcentral